Molecule: ribosomal RNA, 445 nt
Filed under: uncultured bacterium
Lineage: Bacteria
Description: partial 16S ribosomal RNA
Rfam family: Bacterial small subunit ribosomal RNA
Source: RNAcentral
GUGAGGAAUAUUGGUCAAUGGACGGAAGUCUGAACCAGCCAAGUAGCGUGCAGGAUGACGGCCCUAUGGGUUGUAAACUGCUUUUAUGCGGGGGUAAAGUGAGUGACGUGUCAUUCAUUGCAAGUACCGCAAGAAUAAGGACCGGCUAAUUCCGUGCCAGCAGCCGCGGUAAUACGGAAGGUCCUGGUGUUAUCCGGAUUUAUUGGGUUUAAAGGGAGCGUAGGCCGUCAGGCAAGCGUGUUGUGAAAUGUCGUGGCUCAACCAUGGACUUGCAGCGCGAACUGCCCGACUUGAGUGCGCGGAAAGCAGGCGGAAUUUGUGGUGUAGCGGUGAAAUGCUUAGAUAUCACGAAGAACCCCGAUUGCGAAGGCAAUCCCCUGGGCCUGCACUGACGCUCAUGCACGAAAGCGUGGGGAGCAAACAGGAUUAGAAACCCCUGUAGUCC